Molecule: ribosomal RNA, 497 nt
Filed under: uncultured bacterium
Lineage: Bacteria
Description: partial 16S ribosomal RNA
Rfam family: Bacterial small subunit ribosomal RNA
Source: RNAcentral
GACGAACGCUGGCGGCGUGCCUAAUACAUGCAAGUUGAGCGCUGAAGGUUGGUACUUGUACCAACUGGAUGAGCAGCGAACGGGUGAGUAACGCGUGGGGAAUCUGCCUUUGAGCGGGGGACAACAUUUGGAAACGAAUGCUAAUACCGCAUAAAAACUUUAAACACAAGUUUUAAGUUUGAAAGAUGCAAUUGCAUCACUCAAAGAUGAUCCCGCGUUGUAUUAGCUAGUUGGUGAGGUAAAGGCUCACCAAGGCGAUGAUACAUAGCCGACCUGAGAGGGUGAUCGGCCACAUUGGGACUGAGACACGGCCCAAACUCCUACGGGAGGCAGCAGUAGGGAAUCUUCGGCAAUGGACGAAAGUCUGACCGAGCAACGCCGCGUGAGUGAAGAAGGUUUUCGGAUCGUAAAACUCUGUUGGUAGAGAAGAACGUUGGUGAGAGUGGAAAGCUCAUCAAGUGACGGUAACUAGCCAGAAAGGGACGGCUAACUACGUG